UGAUGUUAUAUAUUAAAAUAUGCUUGACAAGUUUUACAUGAUUCUAUAAACAAAAGCGUUGUCAUAAUACAUAAAAUCUUGCUUGAGAAUGCUCCGGGCACCUGGCUAUAGAAGGAAGAAUGGAAAUUACAAUAACAAAAUCUUAAUUCUAAUAGAAUACUAACAAUGCUCUAAUUAGACCAUAAUAAUGGUAAUCAAGCUUAACCAAAUUCAAAGAAACCUUAGAGAAAUUUCAAACAAACAAUAAGAAUUCUUAAAGAAAUAUUAAAAGAAUCACAAAUAUCACUCAAAUACAUUUUAAUUCAAUCUUAAUUUAAUUCUAGUUAAAAUCCUAUUGAACUUCAUUCAAACUUUAAACCAAAACUAAUUGAAUCUUAAAUCCUAAUAAAAUCCUAAAUCCUAAAUCAAACCCUAAAAAAACCUUAAAUCAAACCACAACCAAAUCCUAAACCAAAUCCUAAUCAAAUCUUAAAUCUUAAAUCAAACCCUAACCAAAUCCUAAUCCAAAUCCUAAAUCCUAAACCAAACCCUAAUCCAAACUUUAAAUCCUAAACCAAACCCUAACUAAAUCUUAAAUUCUAAACCCUAAAUAAAAUCCUAACCAAAUCUUAAACCAAAUCCUAAACCAAGUCCUAAAUCAAAUCCUAACCAAAUCCUAAAUCCUAAAUAAAAUCCUAAUCAAAUCUUAAUCCAAAUUCUAAUCCAAAUCCUAAAUCCUAAACCAAAUCUUAACCAAAUCCUAAAUCAAACCUUAAUCAAAUCCUAAACCCUAAAUCAAAUCCUAAUCCAAAUCCUAAACCCUAAAUCAACUCCUAACCUAAUCCUAAACCCUAAAUCUAACUCUAAUCCAAAUCCUAAACCCUAAACCAAACCUGAGUAAUUCCUACAACAGAUUUAAA
This 899-nucleotide long non-coding RNA is filed under the name Physcomitrium patens. Its description in RNAcentral is "long non-coding RNA (PPAT_LNC001530)". Lineage: Eukaryota; Viridiplantae; Streptophyta; Bryopsida; Funariales; Funariaceae. The record is from RNAcentral.